Molecule: long non-coding RNA, 968 nt
Organism: Sciurus carolinensis (gray squirrel)
Lineage: Eukaryota; Metazoa; Chordata; Mammalia; Rodentia; Sciuridae
Exons: 4
Source: RefSeq, a predicted model, not a curated record
CUUCCCUGGGGACCUUCUGCAGCGCCAGGUAGGGCUCCCACACCUUAUAUGACUGCAUGCAACGCUCUGUCUGAACUCUAGAGUUCUUGUAAUAGUUACCCAAGUUCAGAGAUUUCAGAGGUGAGGCAACUGAAGGAACACGAGUGAAGAAACUGACCCAGAGUCCACAGACGACCGACAGCAGAGGCAGGCCUGAAACUGACUCGUGACUCCAGCUAAAGGGCUCACCCGCCAGGCCGCCCAGCCCUCUGCCUUUCCUAUUCGUCUGCUAUUCUCGAUGGCCAAGCCUCGUUUGAGCCGCAGCCAUAAUCCUGUUAAUGUCUGCUGAUGGAUGGCAGCUAGCAGCUUCACCGACCCUUCCUCCAAACACCCCGCGGUGCUGGCAGAGGCUCUGGGCUCACCCUUGGGCCUUGAUCUAGCACUGCGCUCAGCUGCGAAGAGCCUAAUCCUCUCCUUCAUUGGAAACCACUGGGUCCUCAGUCUCACUGGGGUUCUGAGGAGUGAUGGCCAUCUCAAGACCAUGAGAAGGCAAGGUUGAAGAUGGCAGAGCUGACAGUAUGGAGAGCACAAGCACACCAUGUGCUAAUGAAUCACUGCCUGACCCUGGACUUAGCUCCUGGUUCAUGCUGCAACCAAUAACUCACUUUUGCAGCCUUACAAGGAGAGGAUGUAGCAGGGAUUUAUGGAAAGCAGCACCAGAAUCAUGAUUUCACUUGGCAUCUGCAAAGUUUUCUAUUUAGAAAAAUUAGCCAUGGAAAAGGAGUUUAAUGUUCUGAUCAGAUUACCAAUAUACAAUUCCUUUUUAAUCAACAUUGGGUUCCAUUAUUUUGAGUAAUGCUGGGGGAGUUAUUGACUCCAUACUUUAAUAAUACAACAUAAGAAAAAAGAUAAAACUAUGAAACAACGGUGUGGAGGUGUCUGUGUGCAUAUGUGGCAGGGACACUGUGUCAUAGCAUCCUUCCCUCAGG